UUGCAGGAAGACAGUCUCAUCAGAUCGCGUCUCCGGCAGACGAGCGCUGCUGCCGGGGGUCGGACUGGGCUCCACCCAGCACCCCUCCCCCAAGCCCUGGCGAGGCGAGAAACCGAGAUGGUGGAAGCAGAAACUGGAGCCCCGGCGCCGGGCAGCCGCGAGGGACCGAGCCUUUGAGGGUUCUGCUGCCUCUUGCCAAGGUCAAUCAAACCCUCCCGUCCUCGGGAGGCGUGCGCCGCGUGCGCGGCAGCAGGCGGCGAACCGGCAGAGGUGUGGCAAUCCUGGGGACUGACCCAUUUGGCUGGAAGGGGCUGGGCUUUCAACCCUCUCUUGCAGCCUGUCCUGAGCCAGCCUGAACUUAGCAGGAAGUCUCUACCCAGAUGUAAUGCCUGGAGCUGCAGCAGCCACGUUAAGAUCAUAAGGUUGGACAAGCAUGAGGACAAAAAGCCAACAUAGUGAGGGUGACAGAAAGUCAAGACACAAAGAACCUGGAUCCUUGAUAGCACCAUUGGAGCAGCUGAAUCAAUACCACCAA
Long non-coding RNA from Rhinolophus ferrumequinum (greater horseshoe bat), 535 nucleotides. RefSeq lists it as uncharacterized. NCBI's taxonomy places the organism in Eukaryota, Metazoa, Chordata, Mammalia, Chiroptera, Rhinolophidae. The record is from RefSeq and is a predicted model, not a curated record. The transcript has 3 exons.